Aotus nancymaae (Ma's night monkey) is the source of this 1778-nucleotide long non-coding RNA. Lineage: Eukaryota; Metazoa; Chordata; Mammalia; Primates; Aotidae. The record is from Ensembl.
CUGGAUUUCCCCAUCCUCUCCCUCCACUGGCUCCUUCUCCCUGCCCAGAUUCCUUUAGCCCAUCCCCAAGGCCCUGCACUAGCCCUCUCUGUCCACACCAGCCCUCUGGACACGGUCACCUCUUCCCUCCCCCAGCAUCAACUGGUAUCCCAGCCUGGGCUGAACCGAGGCCUCAUCCUAGAUCUUCUUGACAAACUGAAGAAUCCUGGGAAAGGACCCUCCAUCGGGGACAUUGAGGAUGAGGAGCCCGAGCUACCCCCUGCUGUCCCCCGGCGGAUCAGAUCCACACACCGCUCCAGCUCUCUGGGGAUCCCUGAUGCAGACUGCUGUCGGCGGCACAUGGAGUUCAGGAAGCUCCGAGGAGUGGAGACCAGACCCCCAGCCGAAACGGCUCGCCUACAGCCCACCAGAGACCUCAAGAGCAGCAGCCCCAGGAAGCAACUGUCUGAGUCGUCCGACAAUGACUAUGACGACGUGGACAUCCCUACCCCUGCAGAGGACACACCUCCUCCACUGCCCCCCAAGCCCAAGUUCCGUUCUCCAUCAGAUGAAGGUCCUGGGGGUAUAGGGGAUGAUGGGCAGCUGAGCCCGGGGGUGCUUGUCCGGUGUGCCAGUGGGCCCCCACCACACAGCCCCCGUCCUGCGCCUUCCCCAUCCACCAGCAGCCCCCAUCUCACCGCCCAUUCAGGUAAUGGGACAGGCUGGGGUCGAAGGUGGGAAGGGGUGGGGGGUAUUGGGGGCUGAUUUUCGCGCCUAACCCUUCUCAGAACCCUCACUCUGGAACCCACCCUCCUGGGAGCUCAACAAGCCCCCACUCCUGCCCCCCAAGAAGGAAAAGAUGAAGAGAAAGGUGAGGUUCAACUCUGCUGAGGACUCGAACCUCUGAACGGGGCUGCCUGGUGGGGUGAGGAGGGGGUGGCAGGACUGACAGUAACAGGUGACAUUUGUUGAGCACUUCUCUGUGCCCAACUCUGACCUGCGCCUGGCUCUUUUUUUUUUUUUUUAAUAUUUUUAAAAGGGUAUUUGAGGCUGGGUGUGGUGGCUCAUGCCUGUAAUCCCAGCAUUUUGGGAGGCUUAGGUAGGUGUAUCAAGAGGUCAGGAGUUUGAGACCAGCCUGGUCAGCAUGGUGAAACCCUGUCUCUACUGAAAAUACAAAAAAUUAGCCGGGCAUCGUGGCACAUGCCUGUAGUCCCAGCUACUCAGGAGGCUCAGGCAGGAGAAUCGCUUGAACCCGGCAGGCAGAGGUUGCAGUAAGCCGUGAUCGCGCCACUGUACUCCAACCUGGGCCAGGUGUGGUGGCAUGCACCUGUAAUCCCAGCUACUUGGGAGGCUGAGAAGAAUUGCUUGAGCCUAGAAGGUGGAGUUUGCAUGCAGUGAACCAAGAUUGCGCCACCGCACUCCAGCCUGGUGACAGAGUGAGACUCCAUCUUCAAAAACAAAACUGAUGGCUGGCCUUGGUGGCUCACACUUGUAAUCCUAGCACAUUGGGAGGCUGAGGCAGGUGGAUCACAUGAGGCCAGAAGUUCAAGACCAGCCUGGACAACAUAGCAAAACCCCAUCUCUACUAAAAAUACAAAAAUUAGCUGGCUGCGGUGGCUUGUACCUGUGGUCCCAGCUACUUAUAAGGCUUAGGCACAAGAAUCGCUGGAACUUGGGAAGCAGAGGUUGCAGUGAGCUGAGAUCAUGUCAUUGCAUUCCAGCCUGGGCAACAGAGUGAGACUGUCUUUUUUUUUUUUUUUUUAAGACGGGGUUUCACCAUGUUGGUCAGGCUGGUCUUG